RNAcentral lists this ribosomal RNA (254 nucleotides) under uncultured bacterium. RNAcentral's name for it is "partial 16S ribosomal RNA". It matches the Rfam family "Bacterial small subunit ribosomal RNA", at positions 524 to 776 of the family's 1533-position model. The record is from RNAcentral.
UACGUAGGUGGCGAGCGUUGUUCGGAAUGACUGGGCGUAAAGGGUGCGUAGGCGGUGUAGCAAGUUAGAAGUGAAAUACCUAGAGCUUAACUCAGGUGCUGCUUCUAAAACUGCUAUACUUGAGUGCAGUAGAGGAAAGUGGAAUUCCUAGUGUAGCGGUGGAAUGCGUAGAUAUUAGGAGGAACAUCAGUGGCGAAGGCGACUUUCUGGACUGUAACUGACGCUGAGGCACGAAAGUGUGGGGAGCAAACAGG